Molecule: transfer RNA, 70 nt
Filed under: Camelus bactrianus (Bactrian camel)
Lineage: Eukaryota; Metazoa; Chordata; Mammalia; Artiodactyla; Camelidae
Also listed under: 3 other names
Rfam family: tRNA
About the family: Transfer RNA (tRNA) molecules are approximately 80 nucleotides in length. Their secondary structure includes four short double-helical elements and three loops (D, anti-codon, and T loops). Further hydrogen bonds mediate the characteristic L-shaped molecular structure. tRNAs have two regions of fundamental functional importance: the anti-codon, which is responsible for specific mRNA codon recognition, and the 3' end, to which the tRNAs corresponding amino acid is attached (by aminoacyl-tRNA synthetases). tRNAs cope with the degeneracy of the genetic code in two manners: having more than one tRNA (with a specific anti-codon) for a particular amino acid; and 'wobble' base-pairing, i.e. permitting non-standard base-pairing at the 3rd anti-codon position.
Source: Rfam by way of RNAcentral
GGGGAUAGCUCAGUGGUAGAGCAUGUGCUUAGCAUACACAAGGUCCUGGGUUCAAUCCCCAGUGCCUCCA